Cercocebus atys (sooty mangabey) is the source of this 4037-nucleotide RNA transcript. RefSeq lists it as uncharacterized. NCBI's taxonomy places the organism in Eukaryota, Metazoa, Chordata, Mammalia, Primates, Cercopithecidae. The transcript has a single exon. The record is from RefSeq and is a predicted model, not a curated record.
CUCCUGACCUCAAGUGAUCCGCCCACCUCGGCCUCCCAAAGUGCUGGGAUUACAGGCAUAAGCCAGCACACCCAGCCCAGUGUAGUAAAUCUUUUAAGUGAAUUUGUAUUCUACUAGUUACAACAACACCUACAUACUUUUAAAAAAUAGUGAUGCAAGGUGAAUGUCAGCCAUCAUGCCUGGGAGCCUCCCUCCACCUAUAGAAGCUCCACUGCCUCUCUUGUGUCCGAGGGGCUGGAGGCCAGAAGGGAUGUUGGGGUCCUCUUUUUGGCGUCUGAGCAGGGAUAUCGCGGUCCCACCCCGGAACUACUCACUAGUGCUGACAGGGCGGGGGGGAGGGGGUGGUGGUUAGCGUUUUUGCCUGGAAGUGGACUCCUAUCUUCCAGGGGCCAUUAGCUGGGGAGGAGCAGCCAAAUCCCCAGACAGCCAGCUCCCCUGCAGCCUGACUCUCCCACAUCCUGCCACCUGGGGAGUGGGUGGAAAAUCCUGAAUCUGUAUCCAGAGACUGCUUCCUGCAUCACUUACCACUCCAGGCUGUUGAUAAUUCCACCCGGUUUACAGUGACCUGGACAAAUAUUUAAUCCUCAGCCUUCCUAAUAGUUUAAAUCAAAGCUGUCAGCCCAUGGCCAGAGUCUGGUUCCGGCUUGCCGUGAGCAGUGUCUCCUGCCAAGCUCAACCCAGGCCUGAUGAGUGCCUGUCCUCAGCACACCUUGGCCAGGGCUUCGGACCUUGUUUGCAUUGCCUUUUGCUCUAGGGGCUUUAAUGAGGAAAUUCAUGCUCUGCCGUCAUUCUAAUGGCUGAUCACAUCAUUCAUUUGAGGUGCAUUAAAGCUGGGGCUGGGUUCCAAUGUAAGUAACUGCAGAAGGGGGAGGGAUUGCAACGAGGUAGACAAAUCGAAGUUAAUGAUGCACAGCUUCUGAGCAAACAGGGGAAGUGAGGGUUGCAGAGCUUGGCUACGGGUCCCAGAGGAGCCUUGGAAGAAUGCCUGUGCUUGCUUGGGUGGGAGGCGAAGGGUUCCGGGAGAGGUGAGCGGAUCCGUGGUAGCAUGAACACGCAUGGUUUGCAAGCUGUCCCCUUGGAUUAGAUCGUGACCAAGGUCAGGUUAUUCUCGUUUAACAGGUGAGGAAACUGAGGUUCAAACUUAAAUAAUUUGCCCAUAUAACUUAACCAGUAAGAAGCAAAGCCAGGAUGUGAACCCAGAUUUGCUUGGUGAGAAAAAAAAAUAUGCUACUUUCUACCACACCACAGCUGUUGUGGUGUUGAUUCAUCCUCUGUGCCUGCCAUUCGGCGACUGCUAAAUAAGCUGUCAGAUGGAAGUGCAUGGAGCAGUCGGCUCGGUGUAGACAGCACACUGUCUCAGCAGCCGGCGUGGGCAGCUGCAGUGGACCGCUGCAGUGGACCUGUGGCCUCAGAAGCAAGCAGACCCCGCAAGCGGGACCGACCCUGCAGAGCCCCACAUGGGGCCAGGGCUCCCUAGGCGUGUGCUGAGCAGUGCUGCCCUCUGGGCCCCUCUUGCAGGUGUGCCUUUGUCUUUCAGGAUGGUCUCCUGCUGGAGGCCACUUGGCCACUGGGGUGCAUUCACUGCUAGAGGCUGUCAGGAGGGCUUUGAGGUUUCUAGGGAGUCCAGUGAUCUGAUGGGAUCUGCGUUUCCAGAAGGUGGUUCUGCCCGUGGGCUUGGGGGAUGGGUGGUCAGAGGGAAGCUGUUAGAGUCAUCCAGGAGAGAGACAACAAGGGCCUGGAUCAGGCAACCCUGGGAGGGUUGGAGGGGACUGCCCUGCAGCAGAGAGGUCAGUGAAGAAGCUAGCUUCCAUCUGAGGCAGGAAGUGGCAAGGGCGGAAACAGAGAAGGGCAGGGGAAGAAGGGCAGGCUGGGAGGCAUUCUGGAGUGGAGUGGGCAGGGGCUGGACGACCAAGAUGUGAGAUGGGCGUCAGAUGAGAGCCCCUCACUCGAGUUCCUCCUUACACAGUCCUCACAGCAACCUGGACCUGAGUUUUUCCUCUGGAAACUUGGCCUCAUCCAGGUCCCCCACGCUCACAUGCCCUUGCCCCACAUGUCAGGAAGGAAGGCUGCUUGGUUUUGGAGCCAUCUCCCCAGGCCCACAGUGCCAGGCCCUAGCCCCAAGAGCCAUCCCAGCCAGCAUCAGCACCCUCAGCAAGGCCCCAUGGGUCCCCAGCUUUCCCAGGGUCCUGUGGCCCAGCCUGCCUCACUCUGGCAGCAGUAGCUGCCCUUCCGUGUGUGUGGUCCUAGGGGCACCCUCGUCUUCCCUGUUUCCCACGGCCCAUCUGGAGAAGGCUGCCAGCUUCGGCUUGCUGGCAUCUCGCAGGGGUCCCUUCUGUGGGCACAUGAGGGUAUACCCUGGGCCCACUCAUAUCCCAGUGUAGGUGGCUGAUGGUAGGCCAGUGACCGGGGCAGAGCGCCACUCUCCUGGGCACGUGUGACAGAGGUGGAGGGCCUGAGCUGCGCCUGCCCCCCAGCCAGACCACAGCCAGACCAGGCGGCGCUCCCUCCACCCAGCCCUGCCUCCGUCAUUUUACCUUUUAUUUCUCCCACCUCCAACCACCAAAAGAUGUUUCUCAGGGACGUCAACUGGAAGACAAGGUAAAUAGCUAGUCUUCUAGCAGAUUCCCGCGGCAGUGGGACUGUCGGAGAGAAGGUGAGCCGCAAGCCAGCCAGAUCGUACCUUCCUGCCAAGACUUGCGGAUGCGUGUGAGGAAAGGCGGGCAGAAGGUACCCGCUAGCACGCUGCCACGUGGGCCCCCGUGGGAGGGUUGUAGAGCAAGUGAAAAAAGGUUGCAAGCCCCCAGUUCCAAAAGGUUGCAGAGGAAGUUGUACUGAGAGGUCACCACUUCUGUGUGACAGCAGAGACGUGGGAAAGAGGCGAAACUGUAAAUCUCUGGAAAGAGAUCCAAGGUUUCCCAUCCGGGGAAGGGCCUGCAGAUGUUCGUUUGAUAUUUUCUCAGCUUCUAAAUAUUUAGAAAUGAAGGUGGAAUGUUUUGUUGAGUGGGGAGAUCGGGCGGGUCAUUGGCUAGUGAGCCCUCUCUCCCCACUCAGCACUAGACACCCCCAAUAUAUCUUGAGGCAGUAAAACCCCGGCAGGCACCUGCCUGUGUAUCCUAGCAGGAACAUCCUCUUUGACUCGUGUUUGGCAGUUAGGCCGGGCAGUAUAUUUCUGUCACAGGGAAGAAGCCCAUUGCCCUUCCAGAUGCAGGGAACAAAGGGUGGGCUGGGCCCAGCUUGGCAGUUCCAGGAGUGCACGCUCGCUGGGGAGGCCUGGCUGCAGCUGCACACUUGCUCCUCGUGUCCCGUGGGGUUGCCUGGGUUCGGGGGUGGAGAUGCUUGAGCAGCACAGCUUCGAGGGGCGGCUGGGUUUUUGUCAGGUGACCUGGGGUGGAGUGACCAGCGCCUGGCUGGGAAGGAAAGCUGGCCUGAGGCAGGCUCCCCACAACCAUCACAUGCUGUGAAGGACGGAAACAGGAGAGGAGGGGCCUGGAGAUCCCUGGCAGGAGGUGGCUGAGGCAGGGAUGGACCCUGCUCAGGUUUUCUGAGCCCUGGAUUGUGGUUUGUCCUUCAGUUUUCUGGUAAAGGAUGUAGAUGAAAUUGAGCCAGCAGAGAGAUCUCAUAAAAGGAAGCAGGUUUCAGGAUCACCCAGACCUUGGUUCGGAUCCUAACCCGGGAACUUUCCAGCUCUGUGGCCUAGACAGACCUCCUCCUCUUUGAAGCUCAGUGUUGAUAGUGCUCAUUUUCAAAGAUAAUAGUUCCAGCACUUUGAGAGGCUGAGACAAGAAGAUUGCUUGGCUCCGGGUUCGAGAUCAACCUGGACAACAGUUGCCCUGCUCCCCACCCCUUCCCCCCUCCCAAUAAACCAAAAAGUUAUCCGGGUGGGGCGGCACCUGUGGUCCCAGCUUCUUGGGAGGCAGAGAUGGGAGGAUCACUUGAGCCCAGGAGUUUGAGGUUAUAGUGAGCUAUGAUUGCACCGUUGCUUUCCAGCCUGGACAGCAGAGCAAGACCCUAUCUCUAAAAAACAUAAUAAACAAAUU